Molecule: unclassified non-coding RNA, 200 nt
Filed under: Agaricus sp.
Lineage: Eukaryota; Fungi; Basidiomycota; Agaricomycetes; Agaricales; Agaricaceae
Description: partial internal transcribed spacer 2
Source: RNAcentral
UUAAGUUCAGCGGGUAGUCCUACCUGAUUUGAGGUCAAGUAUUCAAGAAGUCGUCUCACAGACAGAGACAAUUAGAAGCUGAACAACACAGAGAGCAAUCCCCUCGCCAGUGUAGAUAGUUUAUCACACUUGUGGCAGAUCGCAAACGGUUCCGCUAAUGCAUUUCAGAGGAGCUGACCCCAAACAAGUGGCCAGCAAGC